AUUAACUGAUGAUCCUGGAAUGGUAAUUCUUUUUCUAAAUAAUUUAUAACUGAACAUGUUGUGAUAGAUCAAUGUUAUAUUUUUGCAUUCUGAAGACUCACUGCUACAUUUUUAUUUGGUGCAUCCCUUCAAUUUGGACCAUUGUGCUUAUGAUUACAUUUUGGCUUGUAUUUAGUGUUGGGAACCUUCAUUAGCCAUGUUUGACAGUAUAAUUUGCAAAACAUGGGUUAAUGUGGAGGAUCCGUUUGGAAAGAAAAAUUCAGUAGUUUUUGUGUCUACCUAGAUUUUUGGUGGGCCAGGGGUCUUUAGGUUUUAUUGGGUGGUCUGCUGGGUCUGGGCUUCACAUUAGGUGGUAGCCAUCCAAACUUUGCGAUGUUGGCUGUCUUCAUUAUACAGCCAAUGGAAAGCCAAUUUCUUUAUCUUUCUUGUAUAGAUGUUUAGACUGGAAAAAAACUGCAUCAGAAGUUUAUAUUAUGGGCAUUGGAUCUAGUAUAGUCCUUGAAUCAUCCUUGGACGUAAAUGAUGUGCUUCUGUUUGGUUCAGGUGGGAAUUGAAGCAUGGAAGAA
This 566-nucleotide unclassified non-coding RNA is filed under the name Hevea brasiliensis (rubber tree). Lineage: Eukaryota; Viridiplantae; Streptophyta; Magnoliopsida; Malpighiales; Euphorbiaceae. The record is from RNAcentral.